Molecule: long non-coding RNA, 997 nt
Organism: Musa acuminata AAA Group (dessert banana)
Lineage: Eukaryota; Viridiplantae; Streptophyta; Magnoliopsida; Zingiberales; Musaceae
Exons: 3
Source: RefSeq, a predicted model, not a curated record
UUCUCCCACGGCGACGGUGGUAAGAGCUGAAGAACCCUCGUGCGGUUGUCGUCUCUCUUGUGUUUCUACCUCAUUUAUUUGUGGGAUUCCGUUCAGGGUUUGUAAUCCGUGGCCAUCAUGAAUAGAGGAUUUGAUUGGAAUUGUACAUUUUGGCUAAUAAAAACUACAUCAAUUUGGCGUGAUGUCGCAGCUAUUUGGGUCGGAAAACAUACCUAGUUAAAGCGAAUGCAGUCAGAUCACCUUUCUUGUUUCGAGCAGAGAUCUCAUAGCUUGGUGUGCCUUCUGUUUGCACGUCGAAUUCGUGCUUUUGAUUCAGUCAAAAUAUCAUCUAAGGUUGCAAGCAAGAAUGCUACCUUUUGCUUUUAUGAGAACAAAAUAUCAAAAGGAUGCGACAACAAAAUCCUAUUGGCAGAACAUGUGACACCAUUUUUCAUGGCUUGACUACCUCUUGGAAGCGCAUUUGGUUGUUUGCGGGGAGAUCUGUAGUUGUUUGAUUAAAUUACAGUGACUGAAUCAUUACAGUGUUUACAUUCUGGACACCUCCUGUCCUCCAUUGCCCUUCAAACAAAGUGAUUGGUGCAAUCACAGUUCCCCAUGGCCUGACAACACCAGCAGCAAGAGGAUGGGAGGUGUUCUCUUGCAAAUGUAAAUGGAAGGGAUGCCUACUGCACAUAGAAAUGGAACAUGUACGUGUCAGAGAAGGGCAUUGAACCGGAUUAAGAUUAACAGAUUUGCUUUGCAUCUUGUUGGCUUCUGCUCUUUAUUCUGGUGAGUGAUGGAAUCCAAUUAUUGGGCAUUGGUGGUGUACAAACUCCUAAUAUUGUAUUCUAUCAACCUCAAUAAUGUUUACAACCAUUCAUCCUUCAGCCUGAAGAAUCAGAAUGAGUAGGUGAAUGGUUCCUGAUAGAGUCUCAUCUGAUUCUGAUAUCUUGCGGUAGGAUUUCCGAGUGGAAAUGUAUUUGGUACUACAGGAGAUUAUGCAGUGCUAUAUUUUACA